UACGGAGGGUGCGAGCGUUGUCCGGAAUCAUUGGGCGUAAAGGGCGCGUAGGUGGCCCGGUCAGUCUUUGGUGAAAGCGCGGGGCUCAACCCUGCGUCGGCCAGGGAUACUGCCGCGGCUGGAGCACUGUAGAGGCAGGCGGAAUUCCGGGUGUAGCGGUGGAAUGCGUAGAGAUCCGGAAGAACACCGGUGGCGAAGGCGGCAUGCUGGGCAGUUUUGCUGACACUGAGGCGCGACAGCGUGGGGAGCAAACAGG
This 256-nucleotide ribosomal RNA is filed under the name uncultured bacterium. RNAcentral describes it as "partial 16S ribosomal RNA". It matches the Rfam family "Bacterial small subunit ribosomal RNA", at positions 524 to 776 of the family's 1533-position model. The record is from RNAcentral.